This 257-nucleotide ribosomal RNA is filed under the name uncultured bacterium. Its description in RNAcentral is "partial 16S ribosomal RNA". It matches the Rfam family "Bacterial small subunit ribosomal RNA", at positions 524 to 776 of the family's 1533-position model. The record is from RNAcentral.
UACGAAGGGUGCAAGCGUUAAUCGGAAUUACUGGGCGUAAAGCGUGCGUAGGCGGUUUGUUAAGUCUGCUGUGAAAUCCCCGGGCUCAACCUGGGAAUGGCAGUGGAUACUGGCAAGCUAGAGUGUGUCAGAGGAUGGUGGAAUUCCCGGUGUAGCGGUGAAAUGCGUAGAGAUCGGGAGGAACAUCAGUGGCGAAGGCGGCCAUCUGGGACAACACUGACGCUCAUGGCAACGAAAAGCGUGGGGGAGCAAACAGG